UCUCGUUUGACUUAUUUGACCGAACAACCUUCUCAAAAUGCAUGAAUUUUAAAAUUUGAAAAUUAAAAAGACAUACUUAGUUUUGACGAUUGAAUCGUUGCACUCUAACUCAUUGAGUGUGGCAAUUUAUUUCCUCGAAAUGAGUGUCUUAUUAUUCAAAUUUAAACUUUAAAAGGAUCGUGUUUUUAAAAUCUUUUCAAAAUUUCGACACUAAGAUAUUAAAUAAUUAAUUCGGUACCAAUUUUGGGCGUUACGAGGGUGCUAAUCCUUCCUCGUGUGUGAUCGAC
RNAcentral lists this long non-coding RNA (287 nucleotides) under Gossypium barbadense (sea-island cotton). Its description in RNAcentral is "long non-coding RNA (GBAR_LNC018565)". The record is from RNAcentral. Lineage: Eukaryota; Viridiplantae; Streptophyta; Magnoliopsida; Malvales; Malvaceae.